This 467-nucleotide ribosomal RNA is filed under the name uncultured Sphingobacteriales bacterium. RNAcentral describes it as "bacterial SSU rRNA". It matches the Rfam family "Bacterial small subunit ribosomal RNA", at positions 915 to 1382 of the family's 1533-position model. Lineage: Bacteria; Pseudomonadati; Bacteroidota; Sphingobacteriia; Sphingobacteriales. The record is from RNAcentral.
GAGGGGGCCCGCACAAGCGGAGGAACAUGUGGUUAAUUCGAUGAUACGCGAGGAACCUUACCUGGGCUUAAAUGCAGAGUGCAUGGAGUGGAAACACUUCUUCCCUUCGGGGCUCUUUGCAAGGUGCUGCAUGGUUGUCGUCAGCUCGUGCCGUGAGGUGUCGGGUUAAGUCCCAUAACGAGCGCAACCCUUAUCGUUAGUUGCCAGCGGGUAAAGCCGGGAACUCUAGCGAAACUGCCGGUGUAAACCGAGAGGAAGGUGGGAUGACGUCAAAUCAGCACGGCCCUUAUGUCCAGGGCUACACACGUGUUACAAUGGCCGGUACAGAGGGCAGCUACCUGGAGACAGGAUGCGAAUCUCGAAAGCCGGUCUCAGUUCGGAUCGGAGUCUGCAACUCGACUCCGUGAAGCUGGAUUCGCUAGUAAUCGCGCAUCAGCCAUGGCGCGGUGAAUACGUUCCCGGGCCUU